AUUAAAAUAGCUAUUCUGAUAGCUUUGAGCCUGCACUUACAACAAUUUUACAUUUUUUGUAUAUAUAAGCCUGAAAAAAAAAUAAAAUAAAAUAAUAAUAAUAAUAAUAAUUUGUGUAUCUAUUCCUGUGUGCAGCAGAUGGCUUCUCCGUUUACUGAGCUGGAAUACUACGUUAUUCUGCUUUCUCUGCUGGUCUUCUCUCUGUUCACACUGCACGGUAUGAUACAGGAGCGAUGCACACCUUCCACAGUGUACAGUAAAGCAGAAGAACUGCAGGAACAUCUCAUAGUGUGAGUCUCAGACUCGUUCACUACAUCGUUCAGUCUGGACUAAUCUACGGUUAAACGGCUGAACCAGGAUCAGUACCAGCAGUCUGUGGAGUAUGGAAGAACUCAGAGGAGUACUGGGAGUGCUGGGGGCGAUUUGGGACCUUCUGGACAGUAUUGUGGAGAGGCUCGCUCCAGCCUCUGAUCUUUAUGGAACUGUAUGACCUCAGGUGCUCCACAGAGCCGGAUUACACAUCUGUGUACGUGUGUGUGUGUGUAAGGUCAGUGUGUGUGCAUUGAGUGAUGACGUGGUUUAUGGAGAGUUGUUAGAAGACAAGGACUUUGGCUGGUCUGAGGAGAAGUUGUGGAACAAAGUGUGGUUUAUUCUGCGUGACAAGAUCAGACAUGACGGGAGAUUUCUGACGCUGCAGAGUGUUAUGGAUACUCCAUUCUCAGGUCUGGAGCUGGUGUUUAUUUUCAUAGCCUUCACUGUGUUCUGUGUAUUCAGCAUUGCUGCGAUCUACACACAUAACCAACCAGACACCCAGGGUACGUGUUACACACACACACACGCUAUAAUUUAUAUACUAGUUAUACUAGAUAUACCGCUGUAAAUGUAAUGCAGAUGCUAUAGCUUUAACACCAUUUGACGAUUUAACAUAAAUACACAACUCUGUACAAGACUUAAUUUUAAACUAGAAAGGGAAAAUUGUCCAUAAAUUGGCUUGGAAAAGCAUGCUUAAAACAUUGAAAAUUUAGAUGGUUGCUGAGCUGUUUCUGUCUAAAAACUGUGAAGAGUUGUUUCUAUGCUGCUAACUUUGGGCUAAAUGCAAAAGUCAAAAAUCUUUUAGCUAAAGUUUGGGUAAUAGAGUAGUGUCCAAAAACAUUUGGAUACAUGGUUGCUAUGGAAUCGCAGGUUGUUGCUAAGUGGGUGCUGUGCUGUUGCCAUGGUUUAUCAAGUGGUUGUUAAGGUGUUAUCUGCUGCCUUUCUCCCCCUCUGU
This 1267-nucleotide long non-coding RNA is filed under the name Astyanax mexicanus (Mexican tetra). RNAcentral describes it as "lncRNA (ENSAMXG00005009789.1)". The record is from RNAcentral. Lineage: Eukaryota; Metazoa; Chordata; Actinopteri; Characiformes; Acestrorhamphidae.